GUGGGGAAUAUUGGACAAUGGGCGAAAGCCUGAUCCAGCCAUGCCGCGUGAGUGAUGAAGGCCUUAGGGUUGUAAAGCUCUUUCAGUAGGGAAGAUAAUGACGGUACCUACAGAAGAAGCCCCGGCUAACUUCGUGCCAGCAGCCGCGGUAAUACGAAGGGGGCUAGCGUUGUUCGGAUUUACUGGGCGUAAAGCGCACGUAGGCGGAUUGGUCAGUUAGAGGUGAAAUCCUGGAGCUCAACUCCAGAACUGCCUUUAAUACUGCCAGUCUAGAGUCCAGAAGAGGUGAGUGGAACUCCUAGUGUAGAGGUGGAAUUCGUAGAUAUUAGGAAGUACACCAGUGGCGAAGGCGGCUCACUGGUCUGGUACUGACGCUGAGGUGCGAAAGCGUGGGGAGCAAACAGGAUUAGAAACCCUGGUAGUCC
RNAcentral lists this ribosomal RNA (425 nucleotides) under uncultured bacterium. RNAcentral describes it as "partial 16S ribosomal RNA". It matches the Rfam family "Bacterial small subunit ribosomal RNA", at positions 354 to 796 of the family's 1533-position model. The record is from RNAcentral.